ACUUCAAAAAAAAAAACAUUGUGGUGGGAGUUUUUUUUGCCGUGCUGCUACCUCCAGGAGGAGCAGCGCCACUCACGACCCAGGGCAGUAGAUGGGUACAAGGCCCCAAACAUCGGAUGUGGCAGCUCCCGCAGCUCAGGGGAUUGAGCAGAGGCAUCGACGGCACCCGCGGCCCCAAGAAGCAGAGGCGGCGACAGGCACGAAGACGUACAGAUGGGGCUCGAGGGAUGCCCUAGCCCCUAUCCCAUGCCUCCACCGUUCCCCCAUCGCUAGCUCGGUAAACUUUUUCACAGUGAGCUCCUCUUGUCCCUAGCAGAUUUCUGGCUCUUCUACCAGUCAGCAAGAAACGAGCUCGAAUCCGGCAGCAACCAUGAGGGUGUCAAUACGGGCCACGACGUUCUUAAUCUAGGAGGGGAUGCUGUUAAUUUUUGGAAGGCAAGCUCAAUUUUGAAUACAUUUUAAUGUGGAAAACAUCUAUUUUGUGGGGAAGAUGGAUCAAUGGUGGUCUCAUGUUUCCUAUUUUGAGAUUAGUCCCUCUGAAUCUGACCAUAUAUGCUUUAUUUAGAUACCGAUUGCAUGAUUUCAGGCAUCCAAUUACAUAGAUUUGUUUGUGUGCGUGUAAGGCUGGUUGUAGUGUGCUAAUUUCCUUUGGUGAUCCUGCAAUUCAAUUUGGAUUGCGUUGGUAAUCAACAGGGAGAGUUGAUGGUCUAGCAUAACUGCAUAACAGGGAGAGUUGAUGGUCUAGCAUUUCCGUUUCUGUGAGUAAUCCUUCAUAAUCUGACCAUCUCAGAUUCAAAUAUUGAUCGCAUGAAUUCAGGUUUCCGAUUUGUGGCUGUUUUGUGGUUAUUGAAUUGGCAACUUUUGAUUGUUUAGCGGUGAUUGAAUUGAUAAUUUGUGGCUAUUUUGUGCUCAUUGGAUUGAUCUCCUAGAAGUUGGGGAAGUCCUUGUUGAAUUAUCUCCUAAGAACACAGAGUCUAUUAUUGUGUAAAAAAUGGACAUGGUGUUGAUAUCAUGUGAAGUUGAAUUAUAUAUUUGGUGGUAGAGUUGUGUUGGAAUUCAUUUACUUUAGCCAAAAGCGUGCUGUAGCCCUCAGACAUUACAUGUUUACAUUGUUGUAACUAAAUUGUAGAAAUCCACAGCUAUGUUAUGUGUCACUUCCACCAAUAAUAGGUCUGAAGACUUGAUGGUACAGAGUUAAUAGUAUACUUUUACGAUUCAUAUGUUGUAGUUUCUUUGUGGCAAAGGUUUGUUAAAUUUUUUGUGAAACUAUUUCAGAAAUUUAAGUGGAAUCUUGAGCAGGGAAUUGACAUGGAGCACUAAGGAUGUUAACCUUGAAUGCUUUCUUUUUAUGACAGCCAGUUUUAGCUAUACUAAAGAAACUGUUAAUUCCUUUUCUUAAUGGUGCACUUCUCUUAGUGAAAAGAGGGUUGAUCGAAGUGAAAUAUUGGCAUUGGAUAGCAUCAGGCAGUAAGUCGAGUCCUAUCAAAACAACAUCAUUUUUUUUAGAGUAGAACUCUUGCCGUGCUAAGUAUCUCUAAUUGCAGCCAAAUUGGCCUAUAAAAUUGAAAAGGAAAUGAUGUAGUGUUCCUAUUUAUUGGGUUAUAUGCCUUUUAUUUAAUUGUCCCAUCAUCUAGGCGUUUUCCAAGCUGUUUUUUGCAGUAAAUACAUUGCCAUUCUAUGAUCCUUGUUCAGUCUUGAAUCUUGUGAACAAAUUGGUGCUUAAUGUCUGGUCCGAUAGUUUAAAAAACUGGUGCUUGAUGUCUGAUCUAAUUUUUUAUCAAUUGGGUCUUGAUGUCUGCAGAUGUGACACCUAUUGAUAUCUAUAAACAUUGACAAGGACGUUGAGAUUUUGAUACAUCUCCGUGCAAUUUUCAGGUCGUAUCUACUUCGGACUGCAUCAGAGUAUCAAGAGAGAGAGUGAAAUGUGUGUCGGCACAUGUUUGGUAGCAUAUUAGAAAUAUGUGAUAGAACAAUCUUGCGACAGUUCGUCAUGUACAAAAUCACAAGCAAAGCAUAUGAACAAAUUAAUUUUUUUUGAACUGUAAUAUGAACAAAUUAAUCAUGCCUAUAUCUUUUUAGUGAUUGGACAAUUUUUUAAUCUUCUCCUAUUGACGCUUGUGAAAUAUGAUGUGUAUAACACAUUUAGCUAUGCCGCUAUCUUGAUAAGGACAGAUCAUAGGCAAGGAUAUAAAAUAGAAUUUAUUGUAUA
Panicum virgatum (switchgrass) is the source of this 2209-nucleotide long non-coding RNA. RefSeq lists it as uncharacterized. The transcript has 2 exons. The record is from RefSeq and is a predicted model, not a curated record. NCBI's taxonomy places the organism in Eukaryota, Viridiplantae, Streptophyta, Magnoliopsida, Poales, Poaceae.